Molecule: ribosomal RNA, 230 nt
Filed under: uncultured bacterium
Lineage: Bacteria
Description: partial 16S ribosomal RNA
Rfam family: Bacterial small subunit ribosomal RNA
Source: RNAcentral
UACGUAGGGUGCAAGCGUUAAUCGGAAUUACUGGGCGUAAAGCGUGCGCAGGCGGUUGUGCAAGACAGAUGUGAAAUCCCCGGGCUUAACCUGGGAAUGGCAUUUGUGACUGCACGGCUAGAGUGUGUCAGAGGGGGUAGAAUUCCACGUGUGAGCAGUGAAAUGCGUAGAUUAUGAUGGAGGAAUACCGAUGGCGAAGGCAGCCCCUGGGACUAACACGUGACGCCUCA